RNAcentral lists this ribosomal RNA (253 nucleotides) under uncultured bacterium. Its description in RNAcentral is "partial 16S ribosomal RNA". It matches the Rfam family "Bacterial small subunit ribosomal RNA", at positions 524 to 776 of the family's 1533-position model. The record is from RNAcentral.
UACGAAGGGGGCUAGCGUUGCUCGGAAUCAUUGGGCGUAAAGGGCGCGUAGGCGGCUUUGUAAGUCCGUUGUGAAAUCCCUCGGCUCAACCGAGGAACUGCGACGGAUACUGCUUGGCUUGAGUCCCGGAGAGGGUAGCGGAAUUCCCAGUGUAGCGGUGAAAUGCGUAGAUAUUGGGAGGAACAUCGGUGGCGAAGGCGGCUACCUGGACGGGUACUGACGCUGAUGCGCGAAAGCUAGGGGAGCAAACAGG